GUUUCUCUUGGACUCGAAAAAUUGAGUUUUACACUUUUAAGAAAGACUUUAUCCAUUAAUUACAGUCGAGAAGUAUAAUGGACUCUGCGUAAUCAGUACUGUAUAAACUGUCCGGAAAUCAUACCAACGCCCCACCUCACAUCCGGUUGUUUAUUUAGUUAUAAAAUUUUAAAGUAAAUUUUUUUAUUUACGUUUCGAGAUUCGGAAUAGGAACCAAACUGCAAUUAUUACUUCCGUUAAUGGACACUAAACACACUAUUCGUCAUUGCAUUAUAAAGGUUAUCAAUUAUUCUCAAUUGAGUAUCGGCGGAGACGGAAUUAGCCCAUUUCAUUUGCUGCUUUUAAACAGUGGUACGAUUAAGUUAACACUACGAUGUGUCAUUUCCAUCAUUCAUGAUACAAAAGCAGUUGAACUGACAUACCACCUGUCUAGUCCCACCGGCUUCUGUUCACCUAAGCAUAUUAUUCACCUCUUAGUCAUUACUCUCCCCCUUCCAAAUCGAGUGAACCUUUCCAGUCUCGUAUGAAUAACUGAACGGAAGUUAGAAAGACGACAGAAAUUGGGGGUAGAUAUACGUCACAGAGAGAGAGAACUAUGCUUCUCCCCCUCACGGAAUGGUUGGUCCAUUGAGAAAAGUCUGAGCGUUGGGUGAAGUUGACUUACUCAGCCGGACAGUCGGUGAAAUUGUUUGUCAAAAUACGGAUUUGCCGUCAUAUAAAACAAGGUAAAAUUUAUAUCCAUCAUUUUUUUUUCUAUUCCACUUACAAAAAUUCAAUCUUGUUUCUGUCUUUUUUUUUUGUUUUUUUAUGUUCUGGAUCGUGAUUGAUUUUCUUUCUACUGUUUUCUAUAUAAGCAACGUUUUCAAAACAUGUUUACAGUACUUCUAUUAACAGUGUUUAUGAUGAUUUAUAUAAACGAAUAUGUUUGUUUCUUGUUUUAAAUAAAGC
RNAcentral lists this long non-coding RNA (948 nucleotides) under Androctonus crassicauda. Lineage: Eukaryota; Metazoa; Arthropoda; Arachnida; Scorpiones; Buthidae. The record is from RNAcentral.